AAUGUAUAUCCGUAUACUUUAAAAAAAAUUGAAAAAGAACUAAACACGGCCCUAAUAUGGGAGUACUACUUAUCAUAUUUCCUCAAUAUUAAAAUAAAUCAACCUAAAAUACACAGACUAAAUCAUUUUCUAGGUUGGUUUAAUUUAAAAUGAGGGGAGUAUGUACGUAGCUGUGCCGGCCGUAUAUAGGCAUAUUAUUGUUAUUGUUAUUGUUGUACAUACAUGGCCAAAAAUAUACUGCAUUACUGAUAAAAUUUAAGGAAGUUUUUUAUUUCGUUGAAUGCUAUUAGGGCAUGUUUAAGGGUGUGAUCGUCCCUAGCACGCAAAGCGAAGCAGCGUUUAAUGCAUGAUUAAUUAAGUAUUAGCUAAAAUAAAUUUGAAAAAGGGUUAAUAUGAUUUUUAUAGUAACUUUUAUAUAUACACACACACACCUUUAGCAGUUUGCAAAGCCUGCGCGCAGAAAACGAGGUAGGUGAGUUGGAAAGUAGAGAUAAGAACAAGAUUAUGGCCUUGUUUAGUUCCAAACUUUUUCUUUAAACUUUCAACUUUUCCAUCACAUCAAAAUUUUUCUACAUAUAUAAACUUUCCUACACACAUAAACUUCCAACUUUUCCAUCACAUCGUUCCAAUUUCAACCAAACUUCCAAUUUUAGCGUGAACUAAACACACCCUAUUUAGAGAUCAUAUAUAGAGAUUGUAAUCAUUAAAUGGAAAAAUAUAUAUUUUGUUACUAUUUUUUAUUUUUUUUUCAUCCUCGUGCAACCAUAUUUUCAUUUUAUAUAAAAUAAGAGUUAAUGUUGAACCGAUGUUUGCCUUUCCUAUUCUUGUGUCUUUUCUACCGAAGAAAUAUUUUCCUAAUUAAUAGUAAGACUAAGAGACAUGUAUUAAUGACCAUUGCAUGCUUCUUUUCUCCAACUUCAAACGUCAGCUCUCUCCUUCUCCGUUAGCACAUAUUUCAAAAUAUUAAAUGGUGCGUAAUUUGCAAAAUAAAAAGUCUACAUAGAAGUUGUUUUAAAAAUCUAAUAAAUCUUUUUAAAAAUUUAUUAAUACUUAACUAAUUAAGUGCUAAUGAGUUUUUUGGUUUCACGUCCUAAAAACUAACCUCUAAUAUGCAUGAUCAAAUGCAGCCUUAACUUACUAAGCCAGAAAUAUCGAAUUUGUCAGAUCUGUACUAAGCGUACGUACACGGGCCAUGGGCCAAGCCGUUAGCCCAACUAUGGUACUCCUUAUAAGUAGGUGUUGUUAAUUGUGAUUGGGUGGCGCUGAUUGCGGUGUUUUAAUAACAAUACUACUCCGUUACUGGGAAACAAGGAAAGAAAUUAGUUAGUGAAGAUUUGAUUUGGCAUACGAAUAAAUAGAAUGAAUUAAAUGGUCAAUUUCCGUUACUGGGACCCAAUAUAUAAGGCACCGAAUUGAAAUAAAUAGAAUGAAUUAAAUGGUCAAUUUCCGUUACGGGGACCCGAUAUACAAGGCACCAAAUUGAAGGCUCUAUAUAUACUCGGUCAGUCCGUCCAUCCAUUCAUCCACGAUCCAUCAUGGAGAAGAGAAGUUGUCUCGAUUCAUUCGUCCGCCGCAGUCGUCCACCGUCCGCCGGCGUCAUCGAUCUGCGCGGCGGCGCCGGACCUCGUUCGCGCCUCCACUCCAAUCUUACAAAGUCGUCUCUGAUCAAAUGAUAUGUUAUUUGAUCACGAGACUUUGUUAGAUUAGAGAUCAAAUGAUAUAUUACGGGUACUAUCGAGAUUGGUUGGUGUUCUAUCCAUCCAUUGAUCCAUGUUCCUUUCUUUUUUGUUUUUUCAAUAUUUGGUGCAACAUGUUCUUUUUUAUUCAACGCAAAACUAUAUUAGGACUCUAUCGUUCUGCUUAUUGACGGCAUAUUUGCAAACGGAAAAUAAUUUAUAAAUAAAUUUUUUACAUACGUGUUUUUAACGAUAUAAAAGCAAAUGCUGAAAAAUAAGCUACGAUGAAAGAACCCUAAAAUCAACUCUAGUGUUUAGAUCUAUUAUAGCAAAAAGUGCUCGAAAACAGUAAAACUUUUAUAGAACCAAACAUGGCCUAAAUUUAAGAUAGAAAAUUUAAAUUUUGGCUUACAAACAUAAAAACAUAAGGCAAAAGACGAGGCACUAGGUUUGGGCCGGCCCAGGUUUUAUAGGUAUAAAAGGAACGACCAGCAUCAUUUCUCCACCUUCCGCCGCCGCCGCCGCCUUCACUGUGUGUGUCUCUCGUCCUCGGCCUCCGCUUCUUCGUUAUUGCAGAUCCGUUUCCCUGUGAGUUUAAGUGGGAAGCCAUGGCCACCAAGGAGGAGGACACAGAGGAGGUCAUGUUCGAGAACAAGUUCACGCGCUACCGCAAAGGAGCGCUCGUCGGGACUAAGUCCGGUUUCGCAUUCAUCGUCUACCCCAUGCCCUCCGUUGGGUAUUUCGACGAUCCUCUGGUGGCCAGGAGGGACCAGGCCUCCGCUCUGGGUGCUGAAGGUAAAGGGAAGAUGGGAAAGGCAUACAUGAGCCAGAAGAAAGGCGUCAAAGCUGGUGGAAGGGCCCGUGGCCGUGGGGCCAAGUAAUUUUGAACCGCUUGUAGUAGGGACGUUUUUUGUUCUAUGUGGUUGAGUUUUGAACAUACCUAAGUUGUAACUAUAAGGUAGCGACUUAGCUGAACCACGCCACUCGGUUACCCACGAAGACAAUUCAGCAGCAGUAACAAUCAUUUGAACCAUACGCUAUUUCGCUGCUGUAUGUGAUACUGCUUUUUUUGCAACUCUGGAAAUAUGUUGAUGUCCUGCUCCGUU
Oryza sativa Japonica Group (Japanese rice) is the source of this 2782-nucleotide non-coding RNA. NCBI's taxonomy places the organism in Eukaryota, Viridiplantae, Streptophyta, Magnoliopsida, Poales, Poaceae. The record is from RefSeq and is a predicted model, not a curated record.